UUGAAACCUCAGAAAUAGUUU
Non-coding RNA from Caenorhabditis elegans, 21 nucleotides. The record is from Ensembl. NCBI's taxonomy places the organism in Eukaryota, Metazoa, Nematoda, Chromadorea, Rhabditida, Rhabditidae.